Molecule: small nucleolar RNA, 77 nt
Organism: Condylostylus longicornis
Lineage: Eukaryota; Metazoa; Arthropoda; Insecta; Diptera; Dolichopodidae
Product: small nucleolar RNA U3
Exons: 1
Source: RefSeq, a predicted model, not a curated record
AAGACUAUACUUCACAGGAUCAUUUCUGUAGUAAGUCUUCAUUACUUUCCGAUGAAAAUUGGAAUUUUUACACCUGU